RNAcentral lists this ribosomal RNA (492 nucleotides) under uncultured bacterium. Its description in RNAcentral is "partial 16S ribosomal RNA". It matches the Rfam family "Bacterial small subunit ribosomal RNA", at positions 28 to 507 of the family's 1533-position model. The record is from RNAcentral.
GAUGAACGCUAGCUACAGGCUUAACACAUGCAAGUCGAGGGGAAACGGCAUCGAAAGCUUGCUUUUGAUGGGCGUCGACCGGCGCACGGGUGAGUAACGCGUAUCCAACCUGCCCAUCACUUGGGAAUAACCUUGCGAAAGUAAGACUAAUGCCCAAUGACAUCCCACGAAGGCAUCCGAAUGGGGUUAAAGAUUUAUCGGUGAUGGAUGGGGAUGCGUCUGAUUAGCUUGUUGGCGGGGUGACGGCCCACCAAGGCAACGAUCAGUAGGGGUUCUGAGAGGAAGGUCCCCCACAUUGGAACUGAGACACGGUCCAAACUCCUACGGGAGGCAGCAGUGAGGAAUAUUGGUCAAUGGGCGAGAGCCUGAACCAGCCAAGUAGCGUGCAGGAUGACGGCCCUAUGGGUUGUAAACUGCUUUUAUAAGGGAAUAAAGUGGGUCACGUGUGACUUUUUGCAUGUACCUUAUGAAUAAGGACCGGCUAAUUCCGUG